UGAGUUUUGCGAAGGGUGGAUGGCAAAGGGCGCGAGGGAAGAGGGAAAGGAUCGUCUAGCGAGGAUCGAGUUACUAAUUAAUUUUCGCAAUUUGCGGUUUCUGCAAACUAUAAUACGUCGCCACGAUGUGUUUGCUUGGAAACAGCAGCGGUGAAAUAACUACGAUGCUGCAGACGAUGAGGAGAAUUAACAAAACGAAACUACAUAGUCUAAAGUCCCUAUAGAUAUUAUAAUUGGAUAUAAUUAAAUUCUGACUGGAUGAAAAUUAUAUAAUUAUUCAAAAUAUUCAUCUCUUGUAUAAUAAUCGUAAUAAUACAUAAUACGUAAUAGCUACGCAAAAUUUUCAGAAAUAAUAUGACGACGGCCGCGUCUCUACAACGAGAGUAUAAUUAAUAAGUUUUUUUUUCUCUUCUUUCCCUUUUGCCUUUUAUAAUAUCUAUUCGUAAAAUAGAAGGUGAAGAGUGAAGCAGAGAGAGAAAGAAAGAGCAGAAAAAAUGACGGCCCGCGAAGUGAAAAAACCAAAGCAAAACGAAAAAAAGAAAUAAUGUAAAAAAAAAGUAAAGACGUUUAUGAUAUUAUAUUGUACAUUUAAGAAGGUUCACUGAUAUUGUACCCACCCGCGUAGGUUCGGUCUUUCUCUUUUAGAUUAUUAUUAUUACAUUAUUGAGGAAGUUCAAGAGCGAUUCAUAUCCCUUUUUCAAGAUAUAACCGCAUCAUCUGCUCUUAUAAUAUCUGUACGUAAAUAUCAAAGAAUAAGGGUGUGGGUAUUGUAAAAAUCGUAAGACAAAAGGGAAAAAUCAAGAAAUCAAGAGAAAAAAAAGGAAAAAAAGGGAGAAGGUUGAGACCCGGGCGAAAAGCUCGAAAAAAACAAGAUGUUAUUUCUGUGAAGAGUUUGUUGAGAAACGUUUGCUUGGUUCUUUCAGUUCGGUUGUGGGUCAACGUCGUUGAUGUUGCAGAGAAGCCCAUACACGUAUAGCCUAUUUUCCUAUGGGUCGUUUUCCUCUGAAAAGCUUUCAAACCAUAUGUGUA
Molecule: unclassified non-coding RNA, 1029 nt
Filed under: Athalia rosae (coleseed sawfly)
Lineage: Eukaryota; Metazoa; Arthropoda; Insecta; Hymenoptera; Athaliidae
Description: misc RNA ENSAEAG00005010086.1
Source: RNAcentral